Molecule: long non-coding RNA, 2812 nt
Organism: Gallus gallus (chicken)
Lineage: Eukaryota; Metazoa; Chordata; Aves; Galliformes; Phasianidae
Source: Ensembl
GCUGUAAGAAGGACAGACCCCCAGAUCUGCAAUGCUACCACUACCAUCCACAGUAAUGGCUAAAUUACAGGGCCAUGGAGCAGGAUCCAAGAGUAUGUGCUACAUGCAGCCACAGUUCUCCUCCAUAUACAUAGCACUCUCCUGAAGCAGAACUGUUUCCCUCUGCAUCCAUAUCCUUCUGAGACAACGGACAACACAAGAAGGCCAUGAAACUACAGAUAUUAUUGCUCACUGCUUUUCCUCCUUAGUAGAUGGAGAUCAGGUGAGAUGAACCUGGGUCUGGUUAUAUGGCCAUUCUCAUGUAAAACACAGCUCACAAGGCUGCAGAAAAUCACAAGGUCUCCAUUUGCUAAGGCAGAUGAAUAGCUCCCUCGCUGGAGUCUCUGGAUGCAGGUCCUAUUCCCUGUUGGUCCUAUAACCCUCAUCAAGUGUCACUGGCAGGAUGAGAUACAGCAUAAGGAAACUCCUCAGCCUCCCUUUAGCACUGCCCCAGGGCUGCAUUGCCAGACUGCUUCCAGCCCUGGUGUUGGGUCUGGUGCCCAGCCCAUCUGGCCCAUCUCAAGGGAGAUGAGACAGCCAUCGCCUCCAACACUUUCCCCCUUCACCAAGCUGCUAAUUGCAGUUCACAGGGAGAUGCUAGCACCUUUCACCACCUUUACCUUCUUGCUGGGAAAAUGCCGAACUUUAUUGGCCCAGGAACAGACAUUCAGACUUCAAAAGAAAUCCUGCGUGUGUUUGUCUUUGGAAGAGGAACAGGACCGGGUUUGGGGCUCAGAAAGUGAGUGCAGACCAUUGCUUGCAGAUCCUGCACAGAUCCACCAGAUGUGCAGUGACCGACCUCGCUGGCACUGUGAACCUGCUGCUGGGUUCAGCUGAAAGUGGCCAACGAGCUUGAAAAUGCUUGGUGGAAAAGGAGGGGUUGACCUACGUGCUUUGAAAUCAUGGAGAGCGGCAUGUGGACCAUCAGCCCUUUUGGCUACAUCUGUCCAGGCAACAAGAGCCAGAGAUGCAGGAUGCAUGAGCUCCCACACCAGUCUUCCUGGCUACCAUUGUCAGAGUUGGCAGGUUGAGGGUGGUACUACUGGUUUUGGUUUACUAUUUUCCUAGAUUGUUAAACAAACAAACAAAACAACAACAACAAAAAACAACCCAACCCCCCCAAAAUCAAGACUAUUUGAGAGGCUCCCUCCCUCCCUGAUAUCUUUUUGUUUAAAUCAGCAUAAUUUCGAACACAAAACCUUCUUGGAUGAAUCAAAACUGUAUGGUCUCACUGUCUUUCCUUCUCCCGCUCCAUGGAUGGUGGAGUAAAGGCACCAGACUGGAUGUUUCCUCCCCAGCACCCUGGAUGUUACCUACAAAGUGGAGGCAUUUCUUUGGGAUGGGAAGAGGUCGUUGGGAAUGAAGACUUACUUGGGGUGAGCUCUGUGCUGCUGCCUUGAAGUGAAGGUUGCAUUUGCAGUUGGGAGGUGGGAAUAGAGAAGGAGCCUAGUGAAAGUGGGCUGUAUCUGAGAGCAUGUGUUGGGGUGUGCUUAGCACUGGGCACAAGCCUAGAACCCAGCAGAGCCAAGGACAGCUUCCCACCAGCUAAGGGACUCCUGCUGCAGCACUACAGGCUUUUCCAAGUACAGUCCAUGACUUUGAUUCCCUACAGGAGCAGUGCCAAUGGCAUUUGGACACCUAAAUCCCAAAGGAAAAGAAAAAAUCCAGUGUUGGUCUUGUCCUCUAAUUCUGAUUAGAACCUCACGGCGAAGAAAGUGCAAGUAAUGUUUGUCUUGUCCCCUGGCAUAGCACAAACUGUGUGCACGGUCUGGACCUAGAUAAGGGACAUUUCGGCCCCACCUGCUGCUCCUCCUUGAGGAGCCUGAAGCAAACACAGAACAGCUUUGGGAUAGGUGGAUAACUGCAGACAGGUUCAUGUCUUGACAUCAACUUGGGAACGGCUUCAAGCACACAGCCCAGAUGAAAUGGUCCAUGAGUGGCAGCUGCCAUCUCUCUACCCUCUCCAUCCACUGAUAAGGCCAGUAAAUAACCCUUAAUGAACUUGGGUUCAUGGUUGGACUAGAUGACCUUAGUGGUCUUUUCCAAACUCAAUGGUUACAUGAUUCUAUAAUUCUCAUUAUACAAGUGGGUAAAAGAGAGGCACGGAGGUGUUCUUCCAGCUGUAGGACCAACCCUAUGAACAACCACCACAGAUCCUAUUUGGCUGCUCUACCCAUCAGACCAUGUCACGGGAUGUCCAUGUCUGUGUGAGGCAUCAUUGCUUUAGGAAAUAGAUAACCUUUUUAUUCAUCAUACAACUAAUGCAGUUGGCUGACCAAAGUACAAAACCACUUUUCAAACAGAAAUCACAGCGUUUCAUCCUUACUGAAGGCUGCUCAGUGUUAAUGUCUGGUCAGAUUCAUGCUUGCCUCUUCUGGAUGGGCUAACCCAGCAGCUGUCAGCAGGACCUGAAAAUACGUUUUCCUUCCACACUUUACAGGCACAGCUCCCACUCAAUUUACAGUCCAUCCCCAAUUUAAACCACAAGCUUUUUUCCUUUACCUUCAUAAGGUAAAAACGCCUGUCCAAAAUUUCCAUUUAAAUCUAAUCAGUUGCUACACGCGCCCAUCAUCCUUUCUUGGAAAUGCACAGGACAUGUCCAUACAGCUCUAUAGCACUAUAUACUCCUCCCUACACCCUCUCCACCCCCGCUUCCCACCUCCCCCCCUCCCCAAACUAUGACUCAUCUUAAGGCAGAAGGUUAAUUUAGGUUAAUUAUCUUCCUGGUUAGCAGUGCAUACAUGUCCCGAACAGCAAUAAAGGUUUGACACCC